GACGAACCGUGCGAACGUUAUUCGGAAUCACUGGGCUUAAAGCGCGUGUAGGCGGAUGGGAGCGUCGGAACCUGAAAGCCCCCGGCUCAACCGGGGAAGUGGGGCCGAAACGACCCGUCUGGAGGGACGUAGGGGGAUCUGGAACUUCCGGUGGAGCGGUGAAAUGCGUUGAGAAUCGGAAGGAACGCCCGUGGCGAAAGCGAGAUCCUGGA
Molecule: ribosomal RNA, 212 nt
Filed under: uncultured bacterium
Lineage: Bacteria
Description: partial 16S ribosomal RNA
Rfam family: Bacterial small subunit ribosomal RNA
Source: RNAcentral